RNAcentral lists this ribosomal RNA (865 nucleotides) under uncultured bacterium. Its description in RNAcentral is "bacterial SSU rRNA". It matches the Rfam family "Bacterial small subunit ribosomal RNA", at positions 17 to 882 of the family's 1533-position model. The record is from RNAcentral.
UCCUGGCUCAGGACGAACGCUGGCGGCGUGCUUAACACAUGCAAGUCGAACGGUGAUGAGGGGCUUGCCCUUCUGAUCAGUGGCGAACGGGUGAGUAACACGUGAGUAACCUGCCCUUCACUCUGGGAUAACGCUGGGAAACCGGUGCUAAUACUGGAUAUGACCUACUCGGGCAUCCGAUGUGGGUGGAAAGAUUUAUUGGUGGGGGAUGGACUCGCGGCCUAUCAGCUUGUUGGUGAGGUAAUGGCUCACCAAGGCGACGACGGGUAGCCGGCCUGAGAGGGCGAUCGGCCACACUGGGACUGAGACACGGCCCAGACUCCUACGGGAGGCAGCAGUGGGGAAUAUUGCACAAUGGGCGAAAGCCUGAUGCAGCGACGCCGCGUGAGGGAUGAAGGCCUUCGGGUUGUAAACCUCUUUCAGCAGGGAAGAAGCGCCUGGGUUUUCUUGGGUGUGACGGUACCUGCAGAAGAAGCACCGGCUAACUACGUGCCAGCAGCCGCGGUAAUACGUAGGGUGCAAGCGUUGUCCGGAAUUAUUGGGCGUAAAGAGCUUGUAGGCGGUUUGUCGCGUCUGCUGUGAAAUUUCGGGGCUCAACCCCGAACUUGCAGUGGGUACGGGCAGACUAGAGUGUGGUAGGGGAGACUGGAAUUCCUGGUGUAGCGGUGAAAUGCGCAGAUAUCAGAGGAACACCGAUGGCGAAGGCAGGUCUCUGGGCCACUACUGACGCUGAGAAGCGAAAGCAUGGGAGCGAACAGGAUUAGAUACCCUGUAGUCCAUGCCGUAACGUUGGGAACUAGUGUGGGCCUCAUUCCACGAGGUCCGUGCCGCAGCUAACGCAUUAAGUUCCCCGCCUGGGGGAGUA